RNAcentral lists this ribosomal RNA (495 nucleotides) under uncultured bacterium. Its description in RNAcentral is "partial 16S ribosomal RNA". It matches the Rfam family "Bacterial small subunit ribosomal RNA", at positions 28 to 507 of the family's 1533-position model. The record is from RNAcentral.
GACGAACGCUGGCGGCGUGCCUAAUACAUGCAAGUAGAACGCUGAAGGAGGAGCUUGCUUCUCCGGAUGAGUUGCGAACGGGUGGGUAACGCGUAGGUAACCUGCCUGGUAGCGGGGGAUAACUAUUGGAAACGAUAGCUAAUACCGCAUAAGAGUAGAUGUCGCAUGACAUUUGCUUAAAAGGUGCAACUGCACCACUACCAGAUGGACCUGCGUUGUAUUAGCUAGUUGGUGAGGUAACGGCUCACCAAGGCAACGAUACAUAGCCGACCUGAGAGGGUGAUCGGCCACACUGGGACUGAGACACGGCCCAGACUCCUACGGGAGGCAGCAGUAGGGAAUCUUCGGCAAUGGACGGAAGUCUGACCGAGCAACGCCGCGUGAGUGAAGAAGGGUUUCGGAUCGUAAAGCUCUGUUGUAAGAGAAGAACGAGUGUGAGAGUGGAAAGUUCACACUGUGACGGUAUCUUACCAGAAAGGGACGGCUAACUACGUG